CUGCAAUAUUUAGUCAAGUUGAAAACCGUAUAUGAAGAAAAUGACGAUCGACAUUCGUCAGCGUCAAUUACGGCGCGUCGUUAGUGUAUAUUUAUUUGAACAAAAAAUGACACUUAUCACCUCUUAUCGAAAAUAAUUUUGUUUCAUUCGUUCCUGUACCACUAUAUCCCGAUUAACAGCCCUCCUCGAUCAAUGCAUCAUUUGACUUUAUUACACUGGGAUUAUUGCGGUUGAAAUGGCUGUAUUUAUGCUAAAUAUUUGUAAAUUCAAUGGUUGUGGUCUUACGUUCAAAAGCUUAGGCGAUCUAAUACAACACAUCGAGGAAACUCAUAUUGAUUAUGACCCCCGAGUUGUUGAGCAAACAGAGCAACAGCAGCCAACUUGUAUACCUCUGAGUUAUGUAUUACGAUUCUUGACGGAUGCUGCACGAAAAGAGGGCGUCAAGCCCGUUCAUCAAUCCAGGUCAAAUCAAACCUGUCUUCCUUCCUCAACGCGCAACAAAAAUAAUACUCCUACGGGCAGUGAGGCAGAGGAGGGAGAGGACUUUGUUAGUGAGCCAGAAGACAGCAAUGACUCCUGGACCACUUCCUUGGAGUUCUCCGCUGACUUCAUCCUUCGUUAUGGCAGCAGGGCUGUGAGCCAAAAUACUGCGAAUCAAAACAACAAUACGGACAAGCCAUUUGCCUGCCCCGUACCUGGAUGUAAAAAACGCUACAAGAACAUCAAUGGCAUAAAGUACCAUUCUAAAAACGGGCACAAAAAUGAUAACAACCACAACUAAGAAAAUAACAACGAAUAAAAGAAAACAGAUUUUGGAUUGAUCGAGUUUUGCGAGCAGUUCAUCAGGGUACGGAAGGCGUUUAAAUGUCCAUGUGGAAAGAGCUACAAAACUUCAUAUGGCUUGAAAAACCAUGCAGCAAUACAACACAGCGGUUCUCUACUACAGGUGAAGAUACUGCAAAAUAACAAAAUGGUCAUUAAAUUGGA
RNAcentral lists this unclassified non-coding RNA (987 nucleotides) under Neodiprion lecontei (redheaded pine sawfly). RNAcentral's name for it is "juxtaposed with another zinc finger protein 1, transcript variant X5". Lineage: Eukaryota; Metazoa; Arthropoda; Insecta; Hymenoptera; Diprionidae. The record is from RNAcentral.